AUGAGAUACACGUCCAUUGGCAGAACUAGGUGGAGAAGAUAGCUACCUCUCUCUCUAACUCUAAAACCUUUGUAGAGAUCUCAAUCCAUUGUGUGCAGGAUCAUUCGUGAGACAAAAACCAUGACCAACUUCUCCAUGAAAUCGAAUCCAAAAGGUGAUCUGCCUUUGUUGUUUCCUCACUUUAAAGCCACAUUUCAGACUUUGGAACACUUACUUUAAGUGUGGAGUGUUUCAAUGUAACUCGAUUCCUGUAAUAUCGAGUUAUAAAGUAUACUUGAUAUCCGUAAAGUCGAGUUAUUCUCUUAUAAUUUCUGCACACCUUCUCCCACUCAGUGUGCCUUGCUCUCUGCUGAACUGAGGACGCUUUCUGCUGAACUGAGUUGGAACUCCUCCACGGAUCAACAGCGGCUUUCUUCAAACUCAAUUGAAAUUUGUAUCACCUCAGUGUCAAUGUCUGGUUCUGGCAACCCACAACUCUAUAGGCCUCAUGAUGUGUUCACUGCUAUGGGUCGUUGUUGGGUAUUGGAAGAUGAGUUCAGCUAUCCAAUCAAUCCGAAUUUGCGAAAUAGUGCUUACGUUCACAAUACCAUGAGACAGGAGUGGGCUUGGUUAUUUCGUGAACAACAAAUGUUUUAUGAUGAGUUGGUUGGUUUUAAGUUGCCAGUGCCUCGGCGACUCGCAUCACAAAUGCCCAGAGACAGCAUCGACGAACUUCGUAAAGCAUUGAACCGCAUAAGAGAAGAAAAUAAUCGAAUGAAGAUACGUCUUAAUCGAUAUCGGACCCAAGUCGAGAUUCGAGAGUCAGUGCAGGAAGGGUGGUACGAGCAUGCACAGUUCAUGCAAUCACUUCUUGUUGAUCCCAUUUAUCAGUCAGACGUGGAGAUGUCAGAUGAAGAGUAAUCGUGUCGUGUCGUGGUGUAAUUAGAUUUUGUUGGAGAACUAUUUUGCUUAACUAUGUGUUAUAUGUAUGGUUGCAUUUGUACUAUGUAAACCUUAUUAUUGAUUAUGAGAAGCAUGCAA
Molecule: RNA transcript, 1020 nt
Organism: Quercus lobata
Lineage: Eukaryota; Viridiplantae; Streptophyta; Magnoliopsida; Fagales; Fagaceae
Exons: 4
Source: RefSeq, a predicted model, not a curated record